RNA transcript from Brachypodium distachyon (stiff brome), 4015 nucleotides. It is a transcript of the gene named putative disease resistance RPP13-like protein 3, with no coding region annotated. The record is from RefSeq and is a predicted model, not a curated record. NCBI's taxonomy places the organism in Eukaryota, Viridiplantae, Streptophyta, Magnoliopsida, Poales, Poaceae. The transcript is spliced from 4 exons.
CCAAGGAGGGGAGAGGGAAACAGUGACAGCAGCACCAGCGGUCCAAUCUAUUAUCCCCGUACUGCUUUCAGUGAAGCAUCCAAAUGAUCAAAUGCUCUCACUGCAUCAAUUAAAGGAGGAGGGGUCACUCACUCACACACAAGCACAUGGACUCUGUCGGCCGGUCGAUGAUUGCUCACUGCAUCUGUAUCUGUAGCUAGAUUCCCCCUUACCAACCAAUCCAUCAGUUGCUCCAUUUCCCCCCAGAGAUAGCAUUAGCACCAGUGCAAGAACAGACCUCCAUCGAUCCAAUUGUCCAGAUCUAGCACUAGCACCGCUGCAAGAACAAACAUCCAUCAAACCAUUUGUCCAGAGCUAGCAUUAGCAGCACUGCAAGAACACAUCCUGUAGCUGGAGUCCAUCCUGCAAGAACAGACCUCCAUCGAUCCACUUCUUCAGCUGACCAGAGCUAGCUUUAACACCGCUGCAAGAACACCCCUGUAGCUGGAUCCAAACCGCCAUCAAUCUCCCAUCAGCCAGUCCAGAAGGUCCUCCAUUUCUUCACUCCAGAUCAACACACUCACACCCUACUUGUUGAAUUGAAGUAGCCAUGGAUAUCACGGCAGGGGCGAUGACCCCCUUGCUCGAGAAGCUCGGCCGCCUACUCAUCGAGGAAUACAACCUGGAGAAACGUGUGAAGAAAGGGGUCAAAUCUCUACUUACAGAAUUGGAGAUGAUGCACGCCGUCCUCCGCAAGGUGAGCGAGGUGCCUCCGGACCAGCUCGACGACCAGGUCCGCAUCUGGGCCGGUAAGGUCAGGGAUCUCUCUUACAACAUGGAAGACGCCGUCGACACUUUCAUCGUGCGCGUGGAGGAUGACGAUGGCCAUGAGCGUGGCCCGAACAACUUGAAGAACAGAGUCAAGAAGCUCCUGAAGAAGACCACCAAGCUGUUUAGCAAGGGUAAGGCUCUUCAUCAGAUCUCUGAUGCCAUUGAUGAAGCACGGGAGCUUGCCGAUGAGUUGGGGGACCUGCGCCAAAAGUAUAUGCUUGAUGCACACGCCAACAGUAAGGGGGAUGCCAUAGAUCCUCGCUUGAAGGCUGUGCACAAAGAUGUCGCCGAACUCGUUGGCAUUGAGCACACGAGAGAGGAGCUGAUCACGAAGCUGCUGUCUGAUGGUGAUGAGCACUUUGGGCAGUCCAAGCAGCAGUUAAAGACUUUGUCUAUUGUUGGAUUUGGUGGGUUGGGCAAGACAACUCUUGCGAAAGCAGUGUAUGACAAGAUCAAAGGGCAAUUUGAUUGUGCAGCUUUUGUUUCUGUGUCUCGCAGUCCUGACAUGAUAAGGAUUUACAAGAAGGUGCUAUAUGAACUUGACCAGAGUAAGUAUGCCAGCAUCAAUGAAGCUGCUAGGGAUGAACAACAACUCAUCAAUGAGUUGAAAAUGUUUCUUCAGAAUAAGAGGUACCUCGUAGUAAUUGAUGACAUAUGGGACGAAGAAGCAUGGGGAUUUAUCAAGUGUGUUUUCUCCAACAACAAUCUCGGUAGCAGAGUAAUGACUACAACCCGCAUAGGCAGUGUCUCUAAAGCAUGCUGCUCUUCCAGUGAUGACAUAAUUUAUCCAAUGAAACCUCUUACCGAAGAUGACUCCAAGAAGCUCUUCUAUAAAAGAAUAUUUCCUCAAGGGGGUGGUUGCCCUCAUGAAUUCGAACAAGUAUCCAGAAACAUCUUGAAGAAAUGUGGCGGAGUACCACUAGCCAUCAUUACCGUAGCUAGUCUUUUAGCUAGUAGUGAUCAACAGAUAAAGCCAAAGUAUCAAUGGGAAACCUUGCUCAAUUCUAUUGGCCGUGGACUUGCAGAAGGUGGUAGUGUGAAGGACAUGCAGAGAAUACUAUCCUUUAGCUAUUAUGAUCUACCUUCUCAUUUGAAGACUUGUUUAUUAUAUCUCAGUAUAUUUCCGGAAGAUUUUGAGAUUAUGAAAGACCGGUUGAUAUGGAGGUGGAUAGCUGAAGGCUUUGUCCAAGGUGGAAAACAAGAAACUAGACUAUAUGAGCUCGGCGAAAGUUAUUUCAAUGAGCUCGCAAAUAGAAAUUUGAUUCAGCCAGUUUAUGAUUAUUAUGGACACGAGGUGGUAGCUUGCCGUGUGCAUGACAUGGUACUUGAUCUCAUAUGUUCCAUGUCCAGCGAAGAGAACUUUGUCACUAUACUAGAUGGUACCCAACAAAGCAAACAUAAUUUACACAGCAAAGUUCGCCGGUUAUCCUUUCAGAAUAGCAUGUCAGAGCUCACCACACAUUGGGUUGAUGUCACGAGUAUGUCGCAGCUGAGGUCUGUUACUCUCUUUAGAACUGAUGUUGAUUUGAUGCAGACUGCUCUUUCUUGCUUUCAAGUUCUGCGUGUAUUGGAUUUAGAAGGUUGCAAUUUUGGGAAAUGUGGCCACAAGAUUGAUCUUAAGCCAAUUGAGAAUUUAUUGCACCUGAGGUACCUAGGGCUACGAGAUACAAGUGUUGGCGUUCUCCCUGUAGAUAUCGGAAAGUUAAAGUUUCUGGAGACUUUGGACUUAAGAAAUCGAUCAAAGGAGCCAUUAGUGGUGCCAUCAAGUGUUGUUCAGCUAAAACAUUUGAUGUGCCUACACCUUGAUGAUCGGAAGAAUACACAAAUACCGACUGGGAUGGGGAACCUGGCGUCCUUAGAAGAGCUGACUGGACUGUGGAUUAAUGGUUCUUCGGCUAUUGAGAAAGAGCUAGGCCAGUUGCAGGAGCUGAGGGUGCUUGAGAUUUAUUUGGAUGGAGAUGAUGAGAGCGUGUGUAGUUCUUUGGUGGUGUCCCUGGGCAAUCUACAGAAAUUGCAAAGUCUAACAAUUGAUAAUUUAGGCAAUAAUGCAAGGUUUGAUGUCUGCUGCAACAGCUUGGUGCCCCCUCCUUACCUCCGUAGCAUUGUGUUUUAUGAAUGUACCUCGACAUUGCCAACUUGGAUUAAUUCAGCAUCGGUUCCGCUCCUCUCCUCCCUGCACUUAUGUGUGGAUAGAGUGUGUCUGGAGGUUGAUAUUCAGAUCCUUGGGAAGCUGCCCGCUCUCUGUUAUCUCAUCCUGUCCUCCACCAAAGCUCAGUGCACUCGUGUAGAAAGGUUCAUCGUUGGCGCUGAUGCAUUCCCAUGUUUGAGGGUGUGCGGUUUCGGUUGUUUUCAGACGGGGCCAUCUAUGUUUCCACGAGGAGCUAUGCCAAGGCUUGAAUACCUCUGGUUCUUUGCCCGAGCAUCGCACAUCGCUAGUGGAGAACUGGACGUCAGCAUGGAGCACCUCCCUUCCCUCCAGAGAGUCGAGGUUGUCCUUUGGCCUGAGAAAGCAGCUGGCGGCACUUCAGACGAGUUUGAGGAAGCAGAAGCUGCGGUGAGGCUUGCAGCAGACGCCCAUCCCAACCGCCCCACCCUUCAGAUUCGUCCUCAUGAUCCCUUCGAAUCGGAAGAAGAUGAAGAAGAGGAGCAUGUGGAUGCAGGAGUUGUCACUGGCCCGGGACAGACUGAGAAAGCGAGCUAGCUCGUCCAAUUCGAAUCUGCAGGUGAUUAAGCAGCAGCUGGCAGUGCGUAUUAGUUUUUUUAAUCUACGUGAGAUAGCUUCGGCUUAAUUACCAGGAGUUGGAAUUGUUGUUCAUACCAUUGGCUCCAUCGAUCUCACCUGUUGCACUUCCAAGAAACAACCAAGUCACAUUGAUUUGAUCGAUACGCAGUAAAGCACUUUGCCCUGAUUCUGUAUCGAUUUGCUUGGAAACUUCGUUCCUGGCGCCAAUUCGGAAAAACCUUGCACUUGUAACUGUAUUAUGUAUUUAUUGUCUUCCUUUGGAUUCAUUUCCUUCUGUUAGCAAGCUAGAUUAGUUAUGCUGGACCUGGAAGGAUGCAUCUUGCAUAUGUAUGGAAGCUUCAUGUUGGCUAGGCACUUUAAUCUGUUUCUAUUCUCUGACUGUUAUGAUGGAUUCGUUGUUCAUCGUUUGCUAAAACCAACAAUUGAGUACCUUUUGCGAAGGGCCAUAUUCUGUUCACUUAA